This 925-nucleotide ribosomal RNA is filed under the name uncultured bacterium. RNAcentral's name for it is "bacterial SSU rRNA". It matches the Rfam family "Bacterial small subunit ribosomal RNA", at positions 8 to 916 of the family's 1533-position model. The record is from RNAcentral.
AGAGUUUGAUCAUGGCUCAGGACGAACGCUGGCGGCGUGCCUAAUACAUGCAAGUAGAACGCUGAAGAAAGGAGCUUGCUUCUUUGGAUGAGUUGCGAACGGGUGAGUAACGCGUAGGUAACCUGCCUUGUAGCGGGGGAUAACUAUUGGAAACGAUAGCUAAUACCGCAUGACAGCUUUUGACACAUGUUAGAAGCUUGAAAGAUGCAAUUGCAUCACUACGAGAUGGACCUGCGUUGUAUUAGCUAGUAGGUAGGGUAACGGCCUACCUAGGCGACGAUACAUAGCCGACCUGAGAGGGUGAUCGGCCACACUGGGACUGAGACACGGCCCAGACUCCUACGGGAGGCAGCAGUAGGGAAUCUUCGGCAAUGGGGGCAACCCUGACCGAGCAACGCCGCGUGAGUGAAGAAGGUUUUCGGAUCGUAAAGCUCUGUUGUAAGAGAAGAACGUGUGUGAGAGUGGAAAGUUCACACAGUGACGGUAACUUACCAGAAAGGGACGGCUAACUACGUGCCAGCAGCCGCGGUAAUACGUAGGUCCCGAGCGUUGUCCGGAUUUAUUGGGCGUAAAGCGAGCGCAGGCGGUUUAAUAAGCCUGAAGUUAAAGGCAGUGGCUUAACCAUUGUUCGCUUUGGAAACUGUUAAACUUGAGUGCAGAAGGGGAGAGUGGAAUUCCAUGUGUAGCGGUGAAAUGCGUAGAUAUAUGGAGGAACACCGGUGGCGAAAGCGGCUCUCUGGUCUGUAACUGACGCUGAGGCUCGAAAGCGUGGGGAGCAAACAGGAUUAGAUACCCUGGUAGUCCACGCCGUAAACGAUGAGUGCUAGGUGUUAGGCCCUUUCCGGGGCUUAGUGCCGCAGCUAACGCAUUAAGCACUCCGCCUGGGGAGUACGACCGCAAGGUUGAAACUCAAAGGAAUUGACGG